CCGAAUCAAGAAGUUCUAGGUUUUUAACUUGUAUUCAAGAGAAAACAUUAAAGAAGUAAAUACUAGAGACUGUAUCCACUAUUUCAAUCAAUAUACAAAGUUAAAUUCCACGAAAUACAUUUCUUCGAAAUCUUGUGUGAAUAGUGAUAAUCACGAAAUAAUUUUUAUGCAGAAGCAGUAGCAACACACGAGCUGACAGUAUCGAAUAACCACUUUUCCUGAUACUUGUUGAUUACCAAAUGCUUUAUCACACCUGAUGGCACUUACUGUUAUCGCAUGGUAAUAAUUUUAAUAUGAUUUGUGUUUAGAAUUUUAAUAUGAUUUGUGUUUAUAAAUUUAAUACAAGCAUGCACAUUUUUUUAAUUAUAUUUUUUACAAUCAUUUAGAAUAAUUUUGUUCAAGACGUACAUCGGGUUUUCAUGGAAAACAAUGUUGAACUCUUCAGACCAAUGUGUGACGAAGUCAUGUAAGAUAUAAAACAAAUUGUUCAGCAUAUUUGACGACUAAAUGUUUCUGACACAGAUCAUAGAUGCAUUCGACAUAGACAACGAUAACAAGGGAUGAUGUCGUAGAGGGAUGUGAAAAAAAUUCUUAGUUUGUAUAAUUUAAGUGUUAUAUAAAUUUUAAAUUUUGUUAAAGCUUUAAUAAAGUUGUAUAUUAGUAUUUAAAUUAAAAAUUGAAAAUUUUAAAAUUAAUUAUUUUAAAAGGAAACUAAAUUAAAUGGGGUGAUUUAGAGGUAGAAAUCUUAAUAAUAUCAAAAUGUAAUAUUCUUAAAAAGAAAUAGAGAAUUACCAAAGUUAAGAUUUUCUUAACAAAACUAUAAGAAAUUAAAAUAAUAAUAGUAGAAUAUUGAGAUUAAAAGUUGAACUAUAAAAUGAGGUCUAGAUUUAAUAAAUUUGUGAUAGUAAAUAAAAUAAUAUCAAGAAUUAUCUUCCUAUUAAUUAAACUCUUUAAUAUGUAAAACACAAAAAAAUAAAAGAGAAUGGAAACAUUAAAAGUGUCAAUUAAUACACACAUGCUUUUGGAGAAUGUUGUAGUGACAAUUCAUGACACAAAACAUAAAUGAAAACAUGGACUCCAACCCAUUCUAAAUGAGUCUAUGCUUUUGGUUUCAAAUUCAAUCUAGAAAACUCACCAACCAACUCCAAGCACCACCCAGCGACCAUUGUCAGUCGACUACUAGGUGUGAUUUAUGACAAACUCAAUCGACGAACUUUCGACCACCACUUUUGCAACUGCUGCAAACCUUGAAAAAUUAAUAAAAAUGAGUUUUUGAAAACAGUUUUUAUCUAAGUCGUUCCAUAUAUACAUUUGAUUUAGUCACAAUAAUAUUUUUUAAAAUACACAUUUUUUUCAAUCUUUUAGUUUCUUUUCUUUUGGAGUUUUUUUUAUAACUAAUAUUAUUAGAUCAUUUUUUUAAUUAUCUCUUUUAUAUUCUUUAUUUAAAAUUAAUAUUUACUUCCUUUUAGAAGAUUUUGUUUAUUUUGUUAUAUCUUUUCAAGGUGAAGAUUUUGAGUAUAAAUCAAAUAUUAAUAUAUUGAUAAUAUAAUGAAAAUUAUAAUUAUAUAUCACAUAUACACUCUGGUUUAUUUUUAGUUUAAUAAUUUUUUAUUUUUUAUUAGUCAAUUUAAUUAAAACACUUAAACGACUUAUUUGGAUUGACUUAAGAAAAAAUAUUUUUCUUUUUAAAAUAAAAAAAGACUCAUUUUUAUUUAGACCUCUAUUGAUAAGAGUAGUUUAAAAUACAUUGCACGUGUUUUGUAAAAUGACAACAAUAACUAUGGCUAAAUGUAACUCUACUUGCCUUUCAUUUUUGCAUGACCCUUUUGGUUAUAGUUAUUUUGAAACCAAUUAGAUCACUUUUAAUGUUGCUUAACUAGAACUUUUGUAAACUUCAUCCAAUUAAAUGAUUUAUUAUAUUUUGUGAGUAAUAUUCCUACUUAGACCAUUCAUGUUAAUGCAAUUGUAAUCAAAAUUAUUGUUAUCUAAUAUUAAAGUUUCUCGUUUUUACAUCAUUUUUAUUAAAAUCAAUAGAGACAAGACAUUGAAUUAGAAGUACAAAAUAUAUAAAAAAAAUAAAUUUAAAAAUUUAUACAAAAUAAAUUUAGGACGUAUAAUUAAUUAAAAAAACCAAAUAAAUUAGUUAAACCCAUAAAUUCAAAAUCAAACACCUGUAUAAAAAAUUCUAGAUUUCCAAUUCAUGCACCCUAAACACAUAGAUUUGUAAGCCCAAGCAUCAGAACCCCAUCAAAUAAACCCACAUGCAUUUAAUUUCGAACCUGCGCGUCAAACGCUCCCUUAAAAUUUAAGUGGGUGGACUUUUUCCAAUAAGUGGUAUCAAAGCUUUAGUUUCAAUUGUUUCUUGAAUUUUUAAGUUUACUUUUCUGGUUGUAACAUUGUUUGAAUUCCACGUCAUAAAAGAAUUUUUUUGAAACAAGUUGCGGUAUUGUGAAUAGUGUGAGGUGUUUGCAAGGAAGUGAAGUAGAUAUGCUAAACUUUUGAGUCCACUAAAGUUUGAUAUUGAGAAAUUUGAUGGAAGAAUCAACUUCAACUUGUGACAAAAAGUGCAAGUCAAGAAUGUGUCAAUACAAUGAGGGUCACACAAAGUACUUGAAAGGAAGACUAGAUAGUUGUGUUUCUAGGUAGUUCGGAAGAGCCCAACGACAAUUCCAGGAAAGGUUCUAAGAAUCCAGCAUGAGUGAUGAACAAUAGGAGGAAAUGGAUUUGAGAGUUGCAAAUGAAAUUCGGUAAAAUUUGGUUAAGAAUGAUUUCGCAAAUAUGCAAGGAAUUUUGACCGCCAAAGAGCUUUUGAAAAGGCUUGAAGCAAUGUAUUAGAAAAAUAGCUAGCAUCUUAAAAUUCGCACUCUACGGAUGGUGGAAGGUAUGAAAAUCUCUUGAUGCAUGUACAUAAACUUUUUUUUAGAUUUAAUUGAGGCUACUAGUAAACUAUUGUCGAAAGAAAGAAAGAUUGAAAAUAGUGAAGGAUCGUGUAAGUUUUUCUAACACUCAUGUUAAACUAACGUUCCGCUCCAACCUUUACUCUCUUAGGCUAAGAUUUAAAUUCAAGUGCCACAAAUAAUCUUUGAUUAGGAGAUGGAAUAUAUAUAUAUAAAGCCUAAGAAGCAAGGAAUAACUGUUGUAAUAUACGUAUAGAGAGUAAGUUAAUUAAAUCAAAGAAAAUAAAUACAUCCAAACGACAAUAAUCAAACUUAUAAGAACACAAGAGUUCAACCGCUCAAUAUUACAAUAGAAACAAAAACUUUACUUAAAAGCCAAACAAUACACUGUUAAUAAUUUAAAAAGCAAAAGAAAGAGCUCUAAAUGAUGAUGUGUAGUAUACACACAUUUUCAUGGCAAAGUUCGUAUACUCAGACCAUGAAUCCUUUUCCUUUUAACUCUAAAAAAAUACUCUCUAAACACGGCAAUAAAAAAAACCCUAAAACAAAUUUAUUCUCACACAAUAUUUCUUUUAGACUUCCAACUUGUUUUCCUACAACAAAAGAAAUGGGGACAUAUGAACUAACCUCAACAUACAAGAAACCUUGAAUGGAAGGAAG
RNAcentral lists this long non-coding RNA (3557 nucleotides) under Cucumis sativus (cucumber). Its description in RNAcentral is "long non-coding RNA (CSAT_LNC000351)". The record is from RNAcentral. Lineage: Eukaryota; Viridiplantae; Streptophyta; Magnoliopsida; Cucurbitales; Cucurbitaceae.